Molecule: long non-coding RNA, 217 nt
Organism: Capsicum annuum
Lineage: Eukaryota; Viridiplantae; Streptophyta; Magnoliopsida; Solanales; Solanaceae
Exons: 2
Source: RefSeq, a predicted model, not a curated record
GAGGUCAGAAUUCUUAAAUGCAUUGCCCAAAGGAGAUAAUCCAAAAUUAAGAGGAGUCUUUGUAGACUCAGUGCAUCAUCAUAAUAGCCUUUUGAAGAGGUGGAUUCCUGAAAUUGCCAUUAAAGUAAAUGGCCAGCUUCACACAGAGGCAUUUGCUGAUUGGUACUUUGAUCGAAAAUACACCUAUUUGAUUGAUGAAACUAAUGAGUUGCCACUC